RNAcentral lists this ribosomal RNA (481 nucleotides) under uncultured bacterium. Its description in RNAcentral is "bacterial SSU rRNA". It matches the Rfam family "Bacterial small subunit ribosomal RNA", at positions 30 to 507 of the family's 1533-position model. The record is from RNAcentral.
AUUGAACGCUGGCGGCAUGCCUUACACAUGCAAGUCGAACGGCAGCACGGGAGCAAUCCUGGUGGCGAGUGGCGAACGGGUGAGUAAUAUAUCGGAACGUGCCCAGUCGUGGGGGAUAACGUAGCGAAAGCUACGCUAAUACCGCAUACGAUCUAUGGAUGAAAGCGGGGGAUCGCAAGACCUCGCGCGAUUGGAGCGGCCGAUAUCAGAUUAGGUAGUUGGUGAGGUAAAGGCUCACCAAGCCGACGAUCUGUAGCUGGUCUGAGAGGACGACCAGCCACACUGGGACUGAGACACGGCCCAGACUCCUACGGGAGGCAGCAGUGGGAAUUUGGACAAUGGGCGCAAGCCUGAUCCAGCAAUGCCGCGUGCAGGAUGAAGGCCUUCGGGUUGUAAACUGCUUUGUACGGAACGAAACGGUGAGCUCUAAUACAGUUUGCUAAUGACGGUACCGUAAGAAUAAGCACCGGCUAACUACGUG